UUUUCUCUCUGACUGAACUGAGAAUAUCCACAGAACCUCCCUGUUGAAGCAUUAGCUUCCCUUCCAUCCCACAGGCAUAUUUUGGCACUGCUGGUCGAUCCUGAUCUCUGGAAGCACCUUUGUGAUGGCACAGCCCUUGUCACUGCCAGCUCUGAGGUGGAGCUGUGCUGUGUCCCUGGGCACAGGUUUUCUGGAAUACUUUGACAGCCACUUCCAGUGCAGAUCCACUCCAGAGCUGCCCAGAGCAAAGCAGAACCCUGUGCCCAAGGUCCCUGUGCGUCCCAGGGACCGUGCUCCUGUCCCCUCACAGGCCACUCUGCUGUCACGAUUACAUGUCCUUUGAAACUCUUAUUUCCACGCAAAAUCAUUCUAACAAAAAGGUGAAGAGCAGCAAGCAGGGACACCUCCCCUUGGAUUCCCCACUUCAUGCAUUCAUUCUUAGAAUUCUAUUUCUGACACCUCCUCUCUAACUUUUGUAAUGUAAAACAUUAAUAAACUUCUUUG
Long non-coding RNA from Vidua chalybeata, 504 nucleotides. RefSeq lists it as uncharacterized. The transcript is spliced from 3 exons. NCBI's taxonomy places the organism in Eukaryota, Metazoa, Chordata, Aves, Passeriformes, Viduidae. The record is from RefSeq and is a predicted model, not a curated record.